Molecule: long non-coding RNA, 797 nt
Organism: Pollicipes pollicipes
Lineage: Eukaryota; Metazoa; Arthropoda; Thecostraca; Pollicipedomorpha; Pollicipedidae
Exons: 2
Source: RefSeq, a predicted model, not a curated record
GAAACGCUCGUGGUGGAGAUUUCUCUUCUUCUAAAAAAAGGUGAAGUAUUUGAAGAAUCCCCAUUUAAGGGCGCCGCUGACGCGGAAGGCUCCGAGCGGGGCGUGUGGCGCUAAGACGUACCACCACCUCCGAGCCGGUUGGCGCCCCCGUCUUCUCGCAGACCCGCUUCUGUAUACCAGCAUAUAGUAGGAGUACCAAAAACAACCCGUCUCGCCGAAAAAGUUAUGAACUACUCAGCGAAUGUAAUGUUCGGCCCCAGAAAUACGGCCAUGCAUCGUAUCUGCUAACGAGACUGGGGUAGCUAGGCGCAGAGGCCCUACCUGUGUAUCACACACUGCAUCUCGCGCACGAGAUGCGCCGUUGCGGCGAGAUAGUUGAGUUGGCUGGACGUCUUAAUACCGUGUCGGAGACCCGGGACCGGACCAACCGCCAGCUGUAUGUUAUCCGGCCUCGCGAGAUGGGCUGGAGCCGCUUCUGCUGCCCUUAUUCGAACUAGUUCAUCGUGCUGCCACCCGACCUCCGUCGGUUUCCUGUGCCGCUUUCCAGUCGCCGCCUGAGACGACGUCUGUCGAAUGUACAGCCUCCGUCGUGCCGACAUGUGCGCUCCUCCUGGCGCUGCUAGAUUUUGACCUGUAUCACUUGGCUGGUAUGCUCGUGUUCCGUGUUUGAUGACUACUGCUUUUCCUGUAUUGCCUUGUGUGAUUCGCACCUCAGGUUACUACCUUUUGUUUUCGAUGGAAGAUGGUAAUAGCUGCCAGUCAAUUACGAGCAUCUCAAUAAAAGUCUGUCAGUGCCA